UGGGGAAUAUUGCGCAAUGGACGAAAGUCUGACGCAGCGACGCCGCGUGUGGGGGGAAGCUCUUCGGGGUGUAAACCACUGUCAGGAGGGAAGAACGGCGCCGGUUCGAACAGUUCCGGCGAUUGACGGUACCUCCAAAGGAAGCGCCGGCUAACUCCGUGCCAGCAGCCGCGGUAAGACGGAGGGCGCAAGCGUUGUUCGGAAUUACUGGGCGUAAAGCGCGGGCAGGCGGUCUGUUAAGUCGUUUGUGAAAAUCCGGGGCUCAACCCCGGAAAUGCAUACGAUACUGGCAGGCUGGAGACUGGUAGAGGCUAGCGGAAUUCCUGGUGUAGCGGUGGAAUGCGUAGAUAUCAGGAAGAACACCUGUGGCGAAGGCGGCUAGCUGGGCCAGUUCUGACGCUCAUCCGCGAAAGCGUGGGGAGCAAACAGGAUUAGAUACCCUCGUAGUCCCUGAGCGGGCUGGCAAGGCGCAU
Molecule: ribosomal RNA, 473 nt
Filed under: uncultured bacterium
Lineage: Bacteria
Description: bacterial SSU rRNA
Rfam family: Bacterial small subunit ribosomal RNA
Source: RNAcentral